GGAGAACUUGGAUCUUCUCCUCCAGGAAAAUGUUCUUUUCCACCUGUAAAGGGUGCGGUGUUAAGAGGCCCUCAGCAAGCUUAUAAGGUUCCUGUGGUUCUCAGCUGGCUUCUGACCUCCACUCGGCCUCCCUGGACCUCAGGGCUGGGAUGCACAUCCCUGAGGUGAGCUACCAGGAUUCCUCUUCCUCUCUACCAUGAAGCAGCCAUCUGGGGCAGCAGGAGGGAGCCUUCAGAGAGAGUGGGGCUGUGAGCACCCAUCUCGCUGCCUGGGGUCACUGGACAAGGUGGUGAACGGGGAGGUGCUGUGUCUGCAAGGCCUCUGGGCUACAGGCCGAACACCACGGAUCUCCAGGAUUUGCUUGAGCAAAGAGUCGAUGUUAAGACACUCAGACAAAAGAAAGGACUAAUUGGUCUGGUUCCUCUUGGAGAGUUUGGAGCUAUUCUAUUUUAUGAAAACUGUCAUUUCAGUAAUAAUUUGCAAGUUAGGCAGGAAGAGAUACCAUGUAAGACUUAUUAAGCAAAUGGAUUCUGUUUUCCUCCAGACGGGAACAGUCUUAUUAGCUGGGUGAAACGCAUCUGAUUCUGGCUACACAGCGAUUUGUUUGGAUGUUAUAACUGGAGGGAGGAAAGGUCUCAUUAAUCAGUGUGGAUCGCAUGCUUAGAACAGGAGAGUGCUGGAGACCAACAAUUAUCAUUCUGGCUGGCAAGAGCUGCAAUUAGGAAAAACUUUGUGGUUUCCAUUGACCCAAGUCUUUUAACUAAUGAUGGGGACGUUCUCUAAGAAACCUAGUUGUUAUAGCUGAAAUUUACAUUUGGAAAAAAAAAAGUUUGUGCUGAUUUCACUAACAUAAAACUAUGCGGCCUUCUUUCUACCUGCCUUUGUCUAAUUGAUUCAUUUUAAUAGCCAUUGAGAGCAUCAUCCUGACCAUAAUAAUGAAUUUUUUAGCUACCACUACAUACACCUAAAUUGCCUUGACAUUGGAUAUGAGUUGAAGGCCGUGAAUGUGGCAUCUAAGCGAGACUU
Hipposideros armiger (great roundleaf bat) is the source of this 1026-nucleotide long non-coding RNA. RefSeq lists it as uncharacterized. The transcript is spliced from 3 exons. NCBI's taxonomy places the organism in Eukaryota, Metazoa, Chordata, Mammalia, Chiroptera, Hipposideridae. The record is from RefSeq and is a predicted model, not a curated record.